Caenorhabditis elegans is the source of this 132-nucleotide non-coding RNA. NCBI's taxonomy places the organism in Eukaryota, Metazoa, Nematoda, Chromadorea, Rhabditida, Rhabditidae. The record is from Ensembl.
AAAUGCAUUUACACCUACUUCGCCGUGCAAAGUUAUAUGCAAAGGAGGAUUUCCAGGCAGGCGUCAGGCAGGCAGUCAUGUGCCAAAGCCUGAAACCGCCUGCCUCCCGUAAAAGCCCAAGGGUAUAGUGAU